This 500-nucleotide ribosomal RNA is filed under the name uncultured bacterium. RNAcentral describes it as "partial 16S ribosomal RNA". It matches the Rfam family "Bacterial small subunit ribosomal RNA", at positions 30 to 523 of the family's 1533-position model. The record is from RNAcentral.
AUUGAACGCUGGCGGAAUGCUUUACACAUGCAAGUCGAACGGCAGCACGGACUUCGGUCUGGUGGCGAGUGGCGAACGGGUGAGUAACAUAUCGGAACGUAUCCAAUAAUGGGGGAUAACGAGUCGAAAGAUUCGCUAAUACCGCAUACGCCCUACGGGGGAAAGCUGGGGACCUUCGGGCCUGGCGUUAAUGGAGCGGCCGAUAUCUGAUUAGCUAGUUGGUGAGGUAAAGGCUCACCAAGGCGACGAUCAGUAGCUGGUAUGAGAGGACGACCAGCCACACUGGAACUGAGACACGGUCCAGACUCCUACGGGAGGCAGCAGUGGGGAAUUUUGGACAAUGGGCGCAAGCCUGAUCCAGCCAUUCCGCGUGAGUGAAGAAGGCCUUCGGGUUGUAAAGCUCUUUCGCAAGGGAAGGAAACUUAGCCACUAACAUUGGUUGAGGUUGACGGUACCUUGAUAAGAAGCACCGGCUAACUGCGUGCCAGCCGCCGCCGUAA